GAUGAACGCUAGCGGCAGGCCUAACACAUGCAAGUCGAGGGGCAGCACAGAAACAGCAAUGUUUUGGUGGCGACCGGCGGACGGGUGCGUAACGCGUAUGCAACCUACCUUUAACAGGGGAUAACGGAGAGAAAUUUCCACUAAUACCCCAUAACAUCGAUCAAGGCAUCUUGAUUGGUUGAAAACUCCGGUGGUUAAAGAUGGGCAUGCGUUGUAUUAGGUAGUUGGUGAGGUAAUGGCUCACCAAGCCUACGAUACAUAGGGGGACUGAGAGGUUAGCCCCCCACACUGGUACUGAGACACGGACCAGACUCCUACGGGAGGCAGCAGUGAGGAAUAUUGGUCAAUGGGGGCAACCCUGAACCAGCCAUGCCGCGUGCAGGAAGACGGCUCUAAGAGUUGUAAACUGCUUUUAAACAGGGAUAAAGCACAGUAUGUAUACUGUGUUGAAGGUACUGUAAGAAUAAGGAUCGGCUAACUCCGUGCCAGCCGCCGCGGUAA
Molecule: ribosomal RNA, 501 nt
Filed under: uncultured bacterium
Lineage: Bacteria
Description: partial 16S ribosomal RNA
Rfam family: Bacterial small subunit ribosomal RNA
Source: RNAcentral